UUUGAAAUUGUUGACACAAUCUGUUCGAGGAAAGCCUGGUGUUCGACGCAUGUGCCGGAGUCGACGCAUGUGCCGGAGAGGAUCAUGAUAGCAUUAUUGCGGUCUCUGAAAUGAUAGAAGCUCUGUAAGGGCUAAAGAAGACAUCGACAAAGCUCAGUAAAGGCAAUCCAUAAGUCUCUUCCCCACAAACAACAUGCUAGUCUUUACAGUGGCGUAGGUCACCGGCUCCGCCAGCACGAUUGCGCCGCUACCGACCUCCUCAUUUAAUCUGUCAUGGAUCUGGUCAACAAGCUUAGGCGAAAGGUCACUCCCCUCCAGCAGAAUCGCGAUGACGGCCUUCCGUGAACCACCGCAUUGGCUCAGUUUGACGUGCACUUUCUCAGCCACGACUUCCUUUAGCGGAACAAGGCGUCGAGCUCCUUUUUUUAAGGUUUCCGCUUGCUUCUCCUCGACACUCUAAUAUAUGACACAAUGACACAUUUGUUCAUAAUUGUUUAUUUGAUUAAUAACAUGUCAUUUAUGUCAUACG
Vigna umbellata (rice bean) is the source of this 529-nucleotide long non-coding RNA. RefSeq lists it as uncharacterized. The record is from RefSeq and is a predicted model, not a curated record. NCBI's taxonomy places the organism in Eukaryota, Viridiplantae, Streptophyta, Magnoliopsida, Fabales, Fabaceae.